This is a long non-coding RNA of Ailuropoda melanoleuca (giant panda), 8029 nucleotides long. RefSeq lists it as uncharacterized. The record is from RefSeq and is a predicted model, not a curated record. The transcript is spliced from 4 exons. Lineage: Eukaryota; Metazoa; Chordata; Mammalia; Carnivora; Ursidae.
GCGCCGCCCCCCGCCUUUCUCCGCCCCCUCCUCCCGCUGGGCGGAGCCUGGGCUCACCGGCCGGGCCUGCGCGCGCCCGCCCUAAGACUAAUGCCGUGCUUGAGGAAAUUCGUUUGCAGAGGCUCACUCCGUUUGCAAGCACCGCGUUUGCCACAUCUCCUCAGUUGUGAUUUUUUCAAGUUGCGGGAGCACCUGGGUAUUUAUGUUUUAGGUAUAUGGAGUUUCUCUAAGAAGCACACCUUCCUUCGUCUUUUUAAGCGAGAACAUUCGGAACCCGAGGUAGCCCAGGUGUAAAACAAAACAAAACAAAACAAAACAAAACAAAACAAAACAAAACCCACCACCACAACAGGCUUUUCGGACAGGGAGGUUUGGGUCCAAUUCAACCGAGACUCCUCCGUCACGAGGCAGGCGGGCGUGGGUAUAUUGGAGCCCUGGCUUCCCCGCGGGGCGAGGAUUCUGACCUUCAGUCCCGUUCUGCGGUCAGGAGUCACGUCCCGCGGUCGGGGGAACUACCGGUCUCGAGUUUUCUGCCGCGGGCCUCGGGGGCUUUUGAGCGUGUUUGUGACUGGCUACCGCUACACUAAAAGCUGUGUUUGUAAAAUGCUUAUUAUUAGAGAUUAUGCUUAUUAUUAGGGAUUUCCUUUUUGUUCUUUCCCAGGGGUUGCCUGUGAUUAGGCUGGGCCACCCGUUACCAGGGCUUCUUCAAAAUGUUCCCCCCAAAAUGAGAAGAAUGGCUGGAGAGCUUUAGUCUCCAGAGUUCAUGACCAUUACUUUGGCUACUUACGGGCUUUCGGGGGUUUCCUUCCUAGUCUUUAGCUGUGAGGUUGAGGUGGUGGGGUUUGCAGGCGCGAGCAACAAAUGCCCCUGUCAUAAAUGCCGCAGCCGGCAGAGGGGUUUGGGAUUUAGUGGGGUGCUGAGGGGCAGGGUGGGGAGUGGGGAGGCCCGGACCUUGCAGGCUUGCGUGCAGGAGAGCCGAGCGAAGAGGAUUGCCUGGUUUUCCGGAGGCUUGCUGGUGGUGGCAAAGGGGAGCGGAGGGAGAGAAGCUGCGCGUGAACUGCGUUCCUGCUUUGCCUAGGAGCCGCCUGAGCGGGGAAGCCGUGCACCUGCUUCUUCACCCAACCUCAGGUGUGUUCCAGUGAGAAGAGGGAUUUGCUCCUGUCCCUUGGCUUCCAGGAUGGAGGCAGGAGAUGCUCAGGAAAGUGCUGAGUGUAAGGUGUGGAGGCUGACCAGGGCUCCGCUCUCCUCUCCUCGGGCAGAGGUGGUCCCCUGCUGCUGUUGUCUCAAGUGGACUGUGAUACCGCCUCAGGUCUCACCAACUCCCUGGCCUCUCCCCACAAUUCAUUCGAGCAGUUGUCAAAACUGUACUUAAUUCAGCUAUGGCAAACAGCACAGCGGUCUGACAGAGGAUUCCAAACUUUCUGAUUAACAUUUCCCUGCAAAUACGUUCCUGAGCAUUCUAUUGCAGCGUAUGUGUGUUUACUUAUUAGUUGGACUGUUUAAAUAUGUACAUUAUACAUUGCAAACUUUUGAAUGGUGAAAUUUAAAAUAAAGUGAAUAGAGUUUCCACUAUGUUCUUCCUACACCUCAAUUUGUAGCCCACUGUUUAGAGACCAGGAACUUCCCUCCCACGGUCUGUCCCAUCACCGUCUCGAGAUUUCUUUUUGCCUUUGUAAAUGUCUAUAAACACGGCUACUCAGCGCACACUGUCCACUGUGUUGAUCUAGCUUCCUUUUUCACGGUGUGGCUUACGCUUCCCCCUGGGCGGCACAGUCUUGGAUGGCACCUCACCCCGGCUCCUGGCAAGAGCAGGAGCUAAAUGGCACAGGGCCUCAGCGCUGAGCGGCUGUCCUGCCCCGGACUGCUCAGGGCCCGACGCCUCGGUAAGAACAGCGCAGCGGCCGAGCCCCAGGCAGCUGAACGACACUGCUCUGCUUGCCCUCUGUUCGACUUUGGCGGUUUGGAAGGGGGUGGGGCAUGAAAAACAGAAGAAGUGUUUGUGUGAUGUGUUCCUCUCCUGUGGCCGUCUUGGCGAGCAACCAAGGAGCUGAGAACAAGCGGAUAUGACUUAAGGGUUUUCUGAAAAAAGAGGGCGACGAUUGAAAAGGAGGUCAAACCUCAUCUUGUUGGGCUUGGUUCGCCACUGCUGGGUGGGGAAAUAGCCCUUCACACUUGCUGGAGAGAAGCCGGCUCUGCUGUCCCCUGCUCCGCCCGCUCGACGCAGAAGGACCUGGAUGAGCACCCGGAACAGGAAGACAGGAGGGAAAGGGCUCUGGGGGAGAAACAGACUUGUGAAGUUAGGCUGCCUCCCCAUCUAGAAGCGUACGCCUGAAGGACCCGUUCUCUGAGCUCGGCGUAUCUGCCCGCUUCCGGGCCCUCCACUGUCCACUGGGGCCUGGGCACCACAGUCAGGGCCCUGACGGUGAUCUCGCCCUUAGGAGAAGGAGGCAGAGAAGGGAAGGCAGAGGGCUACCCUCAAGAAUUGGACAGGUCGGGGUGAGGAAAGGAGCCCAGGUCAUCGCGCCUGGAAGAUGCGCUGUCUGAGCCCUGCUCGGAACUCCGGGGGUGGGGGGGGGCGGGGAAAUGGGCUUUUCUAUAGAUGGGUGCAAGUUGACUCGUAUCUUUGUGCUCACUUAGUGUUUCUUGUGUUGCUUGGACAACUACCUUGGAAGAUGUACAUUGUUUCACCUGAACUGAAGAGAAUGAGUAAAGAAAUAGGUUUAUGUGGAACAUAAAUGAAGAUGUUGGCAUUAGGAGGAUGAGCAGAAUGGCCCUGAGAUCCAGAGCGGAGGCAGAGAGACAGAGGAAGAGGGCUGACAGCUAGAUGGCAGUCUCUUCCUCCUUGGGGGGCUCCCCUGCCAGUUCUUUGCUUGUACGUGGGCUUCCCUGACAAGAUGAUGAACUGCCAGGGGGCAAACUUACGGUAUCGUAAUGUUGUGAGUUUGAGGAUUAGCAGGUGAGGAUUCUGCUCUCGAAGGCUCCCAGACCCCAGUGUGGGGAAAGAGGAUGGGCUUGAGGCCAAAGCAGCUGACAAGGGGCGGGAGGUGGCAGGAGAGCGCUUGGCAGCUGCGGGUGCCCGGGCAGCAGAAUGCUCUUUCCCGGCUCCGCCCAGGCCCUCCCACGUGCCCAGCAAGCGCGCAGUCCGCCCCUUCGCUAAGAAUGUUCAUCAGAGGCCUCAUUUGGGACACCUCUUUUCACACAUCUGUGGUCAAGAGAGGUGUUAAUUGUACUGACCUUGGGGAAAUGUGGCUCUUCCCUGAUGCCCAAGGUCUUUCUGCUCCUCAGAUGCCAGGACGGAUGUGAACCAAAGACUGAGCCCUAUGGUACAGCCUGGGUUUUCUGAGAUCAGGUUUGGGACAGCUACAGCGUGGUUUUCUUUCAUUCAUAGAGUCUUGGGGAAAAGGCAUUUUGAAGAGUCCUUUGAGAGACAUUGGCUUCUGAGCUGUGCUGCUGUGAGCACUGUCUUUCUCAGACAGAAUGCUGUCUAAUUCUUUCUUGAAAAUUAGCAGAGAAGGAGACUACUACUUAAAGGCCAAAGAUCUUGACUCCUCUGGAUUAGAAAAUUCCUCUUAAUUCUACCCUAAUUUCAUCCUAUUGACGUUUAUGCCCAUUUCCUUAUUCUGUGCUCAUGGGAAAUAAGUGUUCAUAUUCUAUCAAUAUUUCCCUUCACACCAUUAAAGAUUUUCCUCCAGCAAUUUCUUAAGGGCCAUGUAGUUCAUGUAGUUCACUUCUGGCCUGGAGCGUGAAGGAACAAGACAGACACAUUGAAAGAAUGAAAGGUGUGUGUGUGUGCACGCGUGCACCUAUGUGUGAGAUAAAGAGUGUGGGCAGGUGUGCGACAGUGUGUGCAUGGAUGUGGGUAAGUGUGUGAGACUGGGAGCAUAUGUGUGUGUGUGCAUGCAUGUGCCUGUGUGAGUGAAUGGCUCCCUAAAAAGUGCAAAUGCACAAAACAAGCUAUGGCUUUGAGACAGGAUGUGACCUUGGCCUUAUCAGAAACUUGUCUGGAGGGGGCUGAGUGGCUCAGUCAGUUAAGCGUCUGCCUGCGGCUCAGGUCAUGAUCCCAGGGUCCUGGAAUCGAGUUCCGCUUCAGGCUCCCUGCUCAGUGGGGAGUCUGCUUCUCCUUCCUCUCCCUGCUUGUGCACGCUCUCUCUCUCUCAAAAAUAAAUAAUCUUAAAAAAAUAAAAAGAAACUUGUCUGGAGGAGUGUCUUAGGUGACCUCCAAAGCACCUUGUGAAGAACUUCAGCUUCUUGAAGUCUGUGAGACUCAGGUCAGAAAGAAACUGAAGGAUAUAGAAACAGGCAACACUUGUCUGAGAUUUGUGGCAGAGCUACAAGAGGGAAGAGGCCUGGGGCCUGGAAUUAUUGCAUGGAGAACUAUUUUUAAUAGAAAUAGAGAAACUUUUUAAUAGAAAUAAACAUCUAUUGUUUUUGAGCCUUCAAUUCUGAGGCCUGUUUGUUACAUCGACGGGCAUUCCCUGAUGAGCACAGUCUCUGCCCCUAGAGUUCUGUUCUCCAGCUCUGCUUCCCCAGCACCAGCAAUCCUGUGGCACCGUGGAGACCUCUGAUCCACGCCUUCCCACCCCUGCACUCCCUGUCACUCUGUAGGUUACCACUCUCUUUCCCACCCAACUUACAGUCCGGUAGGUACACUCCCUUAUGUACCCACUCAGAUCCCUUAAUCCUCUGGUCGUCCACUGCGCUCUCCCUGACAUGGCCAGCCUCAGUUAAAUGCUUUCCAGCCACUCAGUGCCCACGUCUGCAUACUGGGGAAAAUACAGCGAGGCUGACUGUAAGCUGAUGGCCACUAACAGUGACCACUGACUCCCCAUGGCCCCCUGGCAGUUCUUCCAGACUUCCUAGGCCCCCUCAGCCUCCUAUUCUCCUAGGUGACAACUGCACACCUUCCGCGUCUAAAACCUCCAUACCCUCUCCCUCAUCCUCAUGUUCAGUGGAUGACCUUGCUAGUGUCUCAGGCCUUCCUAUAGCCUAUUCUUAACUCAGCAGUCAGAAAAAGCCUUAAAACCUAUGCCUGAUCAUGUCAGUUCUCACUUAAAACCUUGGCCAGGUUGCCCAUCGGUCUCAGAGUCGAACCGCUCUUCAAAAUGUCUUCCUCUCUGCCCCCAAACCUACCAUUCUCUCCCUCAAGCUGCUAGAGGCACAGUGGCCCCAAUCCAUAGGGCCCACUCCUGCGUCAGGACCUUUGCACUGACUGUUCUCUCUGCAUGGAAAACAUUCCCCUCAAGUAUCUGCAUGCAUUUUUCUCUCAUCUCCUUUAAGUUGCAUCUCAAAUAGCACCUUAUUAACGAGACCGUCACUGAAUAUCCUGUUUAAAACAGCAAACAUGUUUCCCACCCCCAGCACUUUCUGUCCUCCUCUGCUUCAUUUUUUGGCACAUUUCUGACAUAUUAUAUAUCUUAUUUUUUUAUUACAAUUUAUAUAUUGUCUAUCUCCUUACACUAGAAUGGAACCUCCACAAGGGGAGUUAUUUUUGCCUGUUUUAUUUCUGUAGCAAUGCCUGGCGCAUAAUAGGCAUAAAAGAAAUAUUUGUAGAAGGAAUAAAGGGGAUAGGAAAGUAGGAGGAAGGAAAAAGGAAGAAAUGAAGGAAGGUUGCUCCCAGGCAUGGGCUCCAGCUUCCCAAGCCUGGAAGACACAGAACAGUUUGCUUCACAAGGAGAUGCAGUUACUCUGAAAUCAGCAGAUGGGCCCUUCCUCUGGGUCUCAGGGUCCCUCUUCUCCAUGCAGGCUGGAGGCCUCCCCACCCAAGGCUGCUCUGGGUCCCAGUGCCUCUGAGUAGUGCGGCGUGUGGACAGAAAUUGUUUCCCGAUGCGGGCUGCCUACUGCUGCUGAUUUAGCUAGAGAGAAGGCUUUCUUGACUGAAAGCUCAGCGUUGGCCAGUUGCAGUUUAUUUUGGUGUUGCAGAUGAAUUUCUGCCUCUGGUGCCUACUCUGUUUCCCAUGUACACACAUGCUCACCGCAGGGCCCCUCUGGGUCCUGCAGCGCUCCCCAUAAGGUAGAGGAAGAAAAAGGCCUUGGAACUCACAGGAACUGAGGGACCAUCUAGGCCAGGUCCAUGGCAUUCUGAAGGACCUGUGAGUGGACUUCAGGGGUUCUCUGAGCUCCCUGAACUUUUUUUUGAGUGUUUUUCCUGGGAUAAGAUUUUAUAGAUGUCACAGACUUUCCUAUGGGUCCAUAGCCAUUAAAAGGUUAUCCUUCAAUUUACAGAUGAGAAAAUGGAAGCCCAGAGAUGGGCACUGACUUGCCUAGGGUCACAGGACAGAGCUAGGACUUGAACUCAUGUCUUCUCUAAGCAGAUAACAGAAUCAAACAUACUUUGCCAAGUAUCACAAGCACCACUGACUAUCACUGACUUGGGAUGCUAACGAGUUGAGCUGCCGAUGCUGGUGGCCCUGAGGCCUGCGGCUCUUGAGGCUGCCUGCACUCCCCGUGGCUGGCCAGCGGCUGUCAGGAGCCCAUGGCCCACAGCACCUACUCACAGCCAGAGGGAGGAGCGUGGGUGAGUUGGGAUGCCCUCCCCCAGGGUCUUAGAGAGACCAGCCAAGUCGGGAGUCAGCAGUCCUGGCUCUCAUUCUCACUCUGUGGCUUAUUCCCUGGACGUUUUGGGGAAGAAACUGGUUUUCUACCUCAAGACCAUCCCAGUCGAAUGUGCUCACAAUAACUUCUGCUACCCCGACUUUCUUUUCAAGGGAGCAAACUCAGCUGGCUUUCUGCCUGCGGCAUUCAGACAGCUCCCGAAAACCCAGCAUCUCCCAUGAGGAUGAGAAGGGGCAGCCAGCUUUCCCUACCCAACCCCAUUUAUAGGUAGAACUCUCAGUCUUUGCUCCUGACUUGGAAAUAGCUUAUUAUCUAUUCACAUCUUAGUUUGGCCUCUUCCAAGGCACUUUGGAUCCUCUCAACAAUCCUUUCAACCACCCUACUAGGUAGAUAUGAUUAAUUACCAUUUUACAGAGAGGAAACUGAGCAGUUGCUUGGCUCGUCCAAGGGCACAGAGCUGCCAGAGGUGGCCCUGGGCGGAGUCUAGAUCACGUCGUCUUCUACCUUUCCCUACCCUGGGUUUCCAGGAACUUCUUGUUUGCGGUCUUUGCAUCCCCUACACUCAAGAUGUCGGGGGGCCAAAAGCAGGGACUUUUUGCAGGUAACUGUCUUAAAUGUGUGAGGCGCCUGUGGUUCCUUCUGCCGGUUACCGUGCAGGAGAAGGGAAAAGCCCGGCUUCUGGCUUCCAUCUCUGGCCGGCCAAGCCAGGCACAGUGGGCGACACCCCAAGUGAACAUCACUGAGCUCACAGAGCUCACAAAGCUGUUAGCUGCAGAGGCCUCCGCCAGGGGCAGCUGGGGAGUGGGCGGCUGGGCUGCUGGCAGGGACACUGGGACUGGAAGGGCCGCCCACCACCUCCUAGCUCAAAAGGGCCUCUUGCUUAGAGGCUCACAGAGAACACUGCGGAAGGGAGGCCAGUGCUUCUCCUCGAUGGGCUCUGCUUCCGUGGAGCUCAGACCCUGAGUGGCCGGGGUUUUCCCUGGGAGCCAGUUGGAGGGUUAGGGUUGGUCCUGGACCCACGGCACUGCUGAGCGAGGGGCAGAGUGUCAUGCACUGUUUCUUCACCACCCAGCCUCUCGGUUGCUAGAAGCUUUUCAUUUCCCCCUUCCAAUCCAUCCAGACGGCCACCAUCUCACCCCUCAUUCCCUCCUAGCUGGUAUUAGUAUAUCAGGCCCUCAGUCCCUGGGACAGACAUUUUACUACAGGUGUAAAUAGAAACGGAUCAUUUUUAGUCACUAUAAAGUGCCACAAACACCGUUCACUGACUUCUCCGCUAAAAAGCACAAACCCAGCAGAGACACUUGAGCAGCAAAUACGAAUCCACCAAGGAAAGGGGUGGGGGCCCCCACUACUGCUCCUCCAUCCUCGGUACCAAGCCCAUGAAGUCAUUCGCCUGUGCACAAACCUAAGGACGUGCAGCCGGGUGUCAGGGAGGCCUCCCCAACUCCUACCACCCAGUCCCCCACCCUUCCCAAUC